Molecule: long non-coding RNA, 3067 nt
Filed under: Marmota monax (woodchuck)
Lineage: Eukaryota; Metazoa; Chordata; Mammalia; Rodentia; Sciuridae
Source: RNAcentral
GUUUCUUAGCAAAGAGGAUUAGAAUCGUAAAAGAUCCAGCUUUAUACCAAGGAGUAUAAGAAAUGUAAUAGGUUUGUUUCCAAAGCAACAAAAAGGUUUACCUGAUAAGUUGACUGAGGGUUCUUCCAUAAUACAUAUGAGUAUUCAAGUUGCUGAGGACCCUUUCACACAGAAAAAUGCUUAGAGCCAUCAUCAAAGAAAUCCGCCUAUUAUAAGCUAGUUUUUAACCACCUUUUUUUUUUCUUUACGUGGUCAGGCUCAAGAAGUAUGAUGAGCUUUCAAAAAGAAAAAGAGAUGGAAAUCACCAACUAUGCUGCCUACUGAAUGAAUAUUUCUUUGUAGCAUGUGCAGAGUCAAGGAAAAUUAUAUUCCUGCAUUGUAUAAUCUACCAACAGUCUACUUUCCUACUGUUUCAAUCUAGGAUAUUCUUUAAAAAGCAGAGCCUGAGACAUAGGUAAAGACAUUCUGUUUGGAAUUUGAUCCCAGGGAGAAGGAGUGAAAGAGAAAUGAAGAGGGAGAAAUGGAAAAGAUCAAAGCAAAACAAGGUAGUGUUUUCAAGUGGUACACUACUGUGAAUGGUUGCAUAAUAUAUAACCUUCUCAAGAAUCUUUGUUUCAGAGCUAUAUUCCUGAGGGAUGAAAGGGAGAAAUAUUUUUAUGUCAGCAGCCAUCUGCUUUGUGUUGACAGCUGCAGUGAGUCCCCGUCACAAGGUGCCUCUCUGGUAUAGGACAUCACACCUUGCUGCAACAGAGAAGCUUUGGGACAGGAGGCUUGAUUCUUCGUGCAUGCUUGACAUAUGGCACUGUCAGCAUGAAGCAGGGUAAAACUUCCUAGACUAUUCACCAGAGCUGCAGCUGGAAUCAGGUUAAAAGACUUGAGAGUACAGAAGAGGCAUUUUAUAAGCCUGCAUAACACACGGUUAGACCUGUCUAAAUUGGUUUCCUCCCUUUUUACUAUAAUCAUAAUAUCCAGAACAAGUUGAUAGAAGGGUUAAAUAGGAAGGUUAUAUGUUUAUACCAGUUUUAACCUCAAGUUUAACCUCAAGUUUAUAAGAAAGAGAAAGUGACAGUGGAACUUGGAAAACUGAAAAUGAUUCUACUUGAAAAAUUUUGACCAUUGGAAAGAGAUAUUAGAUACUGUCUAAACUUCUGUCAUAUCAGAAAUAGUCAUGAAUUGUUUCGAGAAAAAUGAAGAAUAAAAUUAACCAUUUCAUGUAUCUCCAUGAGCUUUAUAAAUCAAUGUUAUUAACUUUUCACAGGAUACUACUUUCUACAGUCAUACAACACUAGUAUUACAAAGCUUACAACUAAUGAAAAGAAACAGGCAGAAACAUAAGAAGAAAAAUAAUUGGGAUCACAUAUAGGGUUGUCAUUAAUGUUGGUUGGAUUCUGGGGAACUGCAUGAUUUCGCUUGGCUUUCUUCUGUGAGUAUUAUCUACUUUUAUUUCGUUUGGAAUUUUCAUUAAUAGAGUGUAGUAUUUGAGUUAUUCAACUCAAUAUGUGUCGAGCUCCUGUUUAUUAGCACUUUAAACAUGCGAACAAGACGUAGAGCAUUACAUCCCAAAACAUUAGAAUUUCUGUUUUGUUUUUUUUUUAAGGUAUACUUUAGAAUAUUUAUUUACCAACACUGACCAUAGGCUGGAUCACAAGUCUCAACAAACUUCAAAAGAUUGAAUCAUACUUAGUAUGAAUUAAACCAGAAGUUUAUUACAUAAAGAUAACAAAAAAAUUCCAGAUGUUUGUAAGUUAGGAGCAUAAGCCUAGUUACCAAUGGGUCAAACAGUAAAUCACAACAGAAUUUAGAAAAUAUUUCAAAAUGAGUUCUAAUGAAAAAACACCAUCAAAACCAAAUUCUAUGAAAGCAAAUGCUUACAGCUCUAAAUUCACACAUAAGAAAUUGUAUAAAAAUCUUGACUAUUGCUGUUUCAAAAAGCCAGAGCAGUGGGGAGCAAGUGAAGGGAGAGAAGUAGACAGACAUUGGACACCUGGUAGCAAAGGACUGAUAAUUCAGAGAACAACACAAGGCAAAACCUACAGUGGCUUUGAUUUUCUGCAGAUGAGCACUCUGGAGCAAUUCAGGAGAAGGAACAUAAGCAGAGCAUUCUUGCUGAGUUGAGAAAAAGAUGAGUUGAAACUGGAAUGGUUUGAAUUUUCAGGGUAGGGAUUAAGUGAAGCGGAAGGUAUGCAGAGAAAAAACUGCACAAAACAUACAUAGAGAUCCUCUUGUGCCCAUUGCUGAACAUUAAGCCUAACCAUACUCAAAGUUAACAUUAGACUUGGAAACAUUUAAUUUCCAUCUAGUUAUAGUGGAGAGUCCUCCCUGAGAACUCCAGGGAUUUGCCAAAGAUCCCUAAAAGGUUACACAUAAUAUAGAUAGGGCUAACUGUUUUGAAUAAAAACUGCCCCCUCCCCCCAAGAGCAAGUUGAAUAUUAUAAAACCAAUCUUCAAGUAACCACCUGCCUGAACAAAAUCCAAAUUUGUUAGUUGUAGUCCUGCAAGAAGCACAUAUAAAGAUAGAAUUUAAUUUCUAAAAGAUUUGUUUGGGGAAAUUCCUCUGAGGGUUGAAAUGGAGAAGAAUCCAGAAGAGGUAGAAUCUUCAGACCACAUAACUUGUCUGACCUCUGUGAAGGUGCAAGGUUUAACUUUAUGUGUGUCAACAUUAUUGGGUCACAGUAUUAGUAUGCCAAGAUAUCUGGUUAAACAUUAUUUCUGGGGUGUCCAUGAGGGCGUUUCUGGAAGAGAAUGGUAUUUGAACACAUUGAGUAAACAGACUAAUCCCAGGUAUGGGCAGGUAUCAUCCUAUCUGCUGAGGGCCCGAAUAAAACAAAAAGAUGAAGGAAACAUUUUUUCUUUGCCUAUUAGGGUAGGACUCCAUCUUCUGCUCUUGGGCUGGGACUGACAGCCUCAGUGCUCCUGGCUCUCAGCUCUUUAGAGGGCAGAUCAUGGCACUUAGCCUCCAAGAUUACAAGAGCCAGUUCUUUAUGAUAAAUAUCUAUAUUGGUGGGUGAAUGAUUGGAUAGAUACGGAUAGAUCCUAUUGUUUGUUUUUCUGGAGAACCCUGGCUACU